UACGUAGGGUGCAAGCGUUAAUCGGAAUUACUGGGCGUAAAGCGUGCGCAGGCGGUUUUGCAAGCCGGAUGUGAAAUCCCCGGGCUCAACCUGGGAACGGCAUUUGGGACUGCAAGGCUCGAGUGCGGCAGAGGAGACUGGAAUUCCUGGUGUAGCGGUGAAAUGCGCAGAUAUCAGGAGGAACACCGAUGGCGAAGGCAGGUCUCUGGGCCACUACUGACGCUGAGAAGCGAAAGCAUGGGGAGCGAACAGG
Molecule: ribosomal RNA, 253 nt
Filed under: uncultured bacterium
Lineage: Bacteria
Description: partial 16S ribosomal RNA
Rfam family: Bacterial small subunit ribosomal RNA
Source: RNAcentral